This 253-nucleotide ribosomal RNA is filed under the name uncultured bacterium. Its description in RNAcentral is "partial 16S ribosomal RNA". It matches the Rfam family "Bacterial small subunit ribosomal RNA", at positions 524 to 776 of the family's 1533-position model. The record is from RNAcentral.
UACGUAGGUGGCAAGCGUUGUCCGGAAUUAUUGGGCGUAAAGCGCGCGCAGGCGGUCCUUUAAGUCUGAUGUGAAAGCCCACGGCUCAACCGUGGAGGGUCAUUGGAAACUGGGGGACUUGAGUGCAGAAGAGGAAAGCGGAAUUCCACGUGUAGCGGUGAAAUGCGUAGAGAUGUGGAGGAACACCAGUGGCGAAGGCGGCUUUCUAGUCUGUAACUGACGCUGAGGCGCGAAAGCGUGGGGAGCAAACAGG